AAAUUGAAGAGUUUGAUCAUGGCUCAGAUUGAACGCUGGCGGCAGGCCUAACACAUGCAAGUCGAACGGUAGCACAGAGAGCUUGCUCUCGGGUGACGAGUGGCGGACGGGUGAGUAAUGUCUGGGAAACUGCCUGAUGGAGGGGGAUAACUACUGGAAACGGUGGCUAAUACCGCAUAACGUCGCAAGACCAAAGAGGGGGACCUUCGGGCCUCUUGCCAUCAGAUGUGCCCAGAUGGGAUUAGCUGGUUGGUGAGGUAACGGCUCACCAAGGCGACGAUCCCUAGCUGGUCUGAGAGGAUGACCAGCCACACUGGAACUGAGACACGGUCCAGACUCCUACGGGAGGCAGCAGUGGGGAAUAUUGCACAAUGGGCGCAAG
This 382-nucleotide ribosomal RNA is filed under the name Salmonella enterica. Its description in RNAcentral is "bacterial SSU rRNA". It matches the Rfam family "Bacterial small subunit ribosomal RNA", at positions 1 to 381 of the family's 1533-position model. The record is from RNAcentral. Lineage: Bacteria; Pseudomonadati; Pseudomonadota; Gammaproteobacteria; Enterobacterales; Enterobacteriaceae.